CUCUUCUCCCUCUCAUUCAUUUCAACCCGAAAACAGCUAUCAAUUUCUCUCUCUACAGUGGAAAGAAGAAGAACCCAAAUUAAGAGAUUUUCUUUCGUUUUUCUACAAGUUAAGACCUGGUUUAUGUUUGCUCUCUGUUUUUUCAUAAACCAGGUCCUAACCUUCCCUAAUCAAUCAAUCUACACCUCUUCUCUUCUUCACUUUUUUAUCUUUUAAGAAAAAAAAAAGAGGCUUCUUUGAGCUUAUUCUUCCACAAUGAACGACCUUCUAUCGGAAUCUUUUGAGAUCCCUCGUGGUCAGGGUUCUAGAGGUGGAGAUAUUGAGAUGGGAAUGAAUUCUGGAGAUUCGGGCCUGGAAAAUUUCUUUAAGAAGGUUCAAGAGAUUGAGAAGCAAAAUGAGAAACUGAACAAGCUACUUAAAAAGCU
Molecule: unclassified non-coding RNA, 425 nt
Filed under: Hevea brasiliensis (rubber tree)
Lineage: Eukaryota; Viridiplantae; Streptophyta; Magnoliopsida; Malpighiales; Euphorbiaceae
Source: RNAcentral